AACGAACGCUGGCGGCAGGCCUAACACAUGCAAGUCGAACGAGUAAGAGCCGUAGCAAUACGGAGUUCUGCUAGUGGCGCACGGGUGAGUAACGCGUGGGAACGUGCCUUGGAGUUCGGGAUAACAGUUGGAAACGACUGCUAAUACCGAAUAUUCCCUCAGGGGGAAAGAUUUAUCGCUCCAAGAUCGGCCCGCGUAAGAUUAGGUAGUUGGUGGGGUAAUGGCCUACCAAGCCUACGAUCUUUAGCUGGUCUGAGAGGACGACCAGCCACACUGGAACUGAGACACGGUCCAGACUCCUACGGGAGCAGCAGUGGGGAAUAUUGGACAAUGGGCGAAAGCCUGAUCCAGCCAUGCCGCGUGAAUGAUGAAGGCCUUAGGGUUGUAAAAUUCUUUUGUCAGGGGAAGAUAAUGACGGUACCCUGCGAAUAAG
Molecule: ribosomal RNA, 433 nt
Filed under: uncultured bacterium
Lineage: Bacteria
Description: bacterial SSU rRNA
Rfam family: Bacterial small subunit ribosomal RNA
Source: RNAcentral